GGGGAAUAUUGGACAAUGGGCGAAAGCCUGAUCCAGCCAUGCCGCGUGUGUGAAGAAGGUCUUCGGAUUGUAAAGCACUUUAAGUUGGGAGGAAGGGCAGUAAGUUAAUACCUUGCUGUUUUGACGUUACCAACAGAAUAAGCACCGGCUAACUUCGUGCCAGCAGCCGCGGUAAUACGAAGGGUGCAAGCGUUAAUCGGAAUUACUGGGCGUAAAGCGCGCGUAGGUGGUUCAGCAAGUUGGAUGUGAAAUCCCCGGGCUCAACCUGGGAAACUGAUCCCAAAAUGGGGAGCUUGAGGAACGGAGAGGGGUGGUGAAUUUCCCGUGUAGGCGUUAAAUUGGGAGAUAAUAGGAGGAACCACCAUGGCGGAGGCGGCCAACUGGACUGAUACUGACACUGAGGUGCGAAAGCGUGGGGAGCAAACA
This 426-nucleotide ribosomal RNA is filed under the name uncultured Pseudomonadaceae bacterium. RNAcentral describes it as "bacterial SSU rRNA". It matches the Rfam family "Bacterial small subunit ribosomal RNA", at positions 356 to 774 of the family's 1533-position model. The record is from RNAcentral. Lineage: Bacteria; Pseudomonadati; Pseudomonadota; Gammaproteobacteria; Pseudomonadales; Pseudomonadaceae.